CCACAGACCACGUCUGCUUUCUCCUCUAUCCUCUUCUGCAUGGUGUGAGUGUUGGUAACCGUAAGUUUCACUUUUUACAAGAAAAAGGCUGAUCAGGACACAGAUUAACAUUCACUUCUGGUCAAGGCCGAGUCCCCAGGCCAGCACCGGGGGGCCCCAUGCUGUCCCCAGAAGGGAGCCCCGCCAGGCACUCCCUGUCCGCUGCACCCCCCCAUUCCCCACUCUCCACGCUGGGCCCCCAACUCCUCAGUCCAGGACUGCGGGGUUCGGAAAUGAAUCGGGCCCAGCCCUUCCUGGCCACGUCCAGGGCUUGGUACACCCAUGUGGCAAAGCAGCGUUAGUCACCCCAUCACCAAAAGGUGGAAGACACCUGGGAAUCCAGCCGCAGAAGAGCGGCACCCCUGUACAAGGGAGGUUUAUUCACCCAGAAGAAGGAAUGGAGCUCUGACAUCUGCUGCAGGGUGGAUGAACCUUGAGGACACGAUGCUAUGUGAAAUAAGCCAUCACCAAAGGACAAGUACCGACUAAUUCCAGAAAGCAGAAGUGAUCCUUGCAGGGAUGGGAUGUUCUAUAUCUCAACCCGAUCAGUGCCUGUUGCUCUCAUCCCUGUACUAUAGUUUUGCGAGACGUUACUGACAGGGAAACCAGGUGAAAGGUGCGUGGGAUCCUCCUGUGUUGUUUCUUACAAUUCCCUGUGAAUUAUCUCCAAACAAAACGUUCAACUAAAAGAAUACAAAUAAAAGGGAAGCACUGUGAAUUGAAGUUUGCUCUGGAGGUGCAGGAAAAGUUGGCCAACAGGUGCCCAAGCUCACCGGCCGUGGACCCUGCACCUUCGGAGAUGCCACCUGGGGUGUUUCGCCAGCUUCGGUCCUCGGCCAGCAACAGGAAACGCUGCCCGCAGGAGGUGACCUGGGAGGGUUAGGCCCCUUGGGCCUGGAGUGCCUGUCCUGUCCUCCAUCUUCAAGAGCUAUAGUUUCCUUUUUUUUUUAAUGUGAACCUUGAACAUGUUUUUCCCCAUAAUCAUGUUUGUCAUCAAGAAAUAAAAAAGAUAGCUCACCCUG
This is a long non-coding RNA of Aethalodelphis obliquidens (Pacific white-sided dolphin), 1061 nucleotides long. RefSeq lists it as uncharacterized. The record is from RefSeq and is a predicted model, not a curated record. The transcript is spliced from 2 exons. NCBI's taxonomy places the organism in Eukaryota, Metazoa, Chordata, Mammalia, Artiodactyla, Delphinidae.